RNAcentral lists this small RNA (480 nucleotides) under Pongo abelii (Sumatran orangutan). Its description in RNAcentral is "retained intron". Lineage: Eukaryota; Metazoa; Chordata; Mammalia; Primates; Hominidae. The record is from RNAcentral.
CUCUUUCCGCCAGCGCCCGCAGGACCCGGAUGAGAGUGCACGCUUGGGGGUCCCCGGGAAGUCGCGGCGCCUUCGGAGGUGGCGGAUGCGGUCUUCCUCCAGAUCCAGCUGGUGCCCUCGCCUGACUUUCGAACGACCACCUGCUCACCUCCUCCCUUUAGCGCGUUGAUUCUUCGAAUUUCGAAGGGCCCACCGGUCUGCUUGCCCAACGUUAUUAGUGCCCCUGUUGCUCUACAAAUUCGAACCUCAAACACAAAACCAAUAUUUCUCCGUAGGGAACCCUAAUGAGCCAGGAGAGCAGUCAGCCCUGCAGCCUCCAGGGUACCCCACAUCAAACAGGCUCCCCGGGAACAAGAGGAGAACCACGUGGCUUGGCACACUCUCAGAAUGCCAGAGAGGAGCCAACCUCCAUUUUACAGAUGAGAAAGCUGAGGCUUAGGGAGGAAUUGUUUUACCUAAGACCCUCCCCCCAACCCCAAG